Cymbomonas tetramitiformis is the source of this 75-nucleotide non-coding RNA. The record is from the annotation of a GenBank genome assembly. Lineage: Eukaryota; Viridiplantae; Chlorophyta; Pyramimonadophyceae; Pyramimonadales; Pyramimonadaceae.
GCCUUCGCGUAGCUCAGCGGAUAGAGCGACCGUGAUUCAAUCGGGAGGUCAUGGGUUGGAGCCCCGUCGCGGACA